CAGGUAGGACUACCCGCUGAACUUAAGCAUAUCAUAGGGGGGGAGG
Molecule: ribosomal RNA, 46 nt
Filed under: Thaxterogaster sp. H3059
Lineage: Eukaryota; Fungi; Basidiomycota; Agaricomycetes; Agaricales; Cortinariaceae
Description: partial 28S ribosomal RNA
Source: RNAcentral